AGGGUUUGAUCAUGGCUCAGAUUGAACGCUGGCGGUAUGCUUAACACAUGCAAGUCGAACGCGAACGGUACUUCGGUACUUAUUAGAGUGGCGGACGGGUGAGUAACGCGUGGGAAUCUACCUAGUAGUUGGGGACAACCUGGUGAAAACCAGGCUAAUACCGAAUACGCCCUACGGGGGAAAGAUAGCCUCUUCUUGAAAGCUUUCGCUAUUAGAUGAGCCCGCGUUGGAUUAGCUAGUUGGUGGGGUAAAGGCCCACCAAGGCGACGAUCCAUAGCUGGUCUGAGAGGAUGAUCAGCCACACUGGGACUGAGACACGGCCCAGACUCCUACGGGAGGCAGCAGUGGGGAAUAUUGGACAAUGGGCGCAAGCCUGAUCCAGCAAUACCGCGUGUAUGAAGAAGGCCCGAGGGUUGUAAAGUACUUUCAAUUGUGAAGAGGGGGUAGUUAGUUAAUAGCAUUCUACCCUGACGUUAACUUUAGAAGAAGCACCGGCUAAUUCAGUGCCAGCAGCUGCGGUAAUACUGAAGGUGCAAGCGUUAAUCGGAAUUACUGGGCGUAAAGCGCGCGUAGGCGGUUAUUUAAGUCAGAUGUGAAAGCCCCGGGCUCAACCUGGGAACUGCAUUUGAAACUGGGUAACUAGAGUAUGUUAGAGGAAAGUGGAAUUCAGGGUGUAGCGGUGAAAUGCGUAGAUAUCCUGAGGAACACCAAUGGCGAAGGCAACUUUCUGGGACAAUACUGACGCUGAGGUGCGAAAGCGUGGGGAGCAAACGGGAUUAGAUACCCCGGUAGUCCACGCCGUAAACGAUGAGAACUAGUUGUCGGGAGGGAUUUACCUUUCGUGACGCAGCUAACGCAUUAAGUUCUCCGCCUGGGGGAGUACGCCGGCAACGGUAAA
RNAcentral lists this ribosomal RNA (898 nucleotides) under uncultured Gammaproteobacteria bacterium. RNAcentral's name for it is "bacterial SSU rRNA". It matches the Rfam family "Bacterial small subunit ribosomal RNA", at positions 8 to 898 of the family's 1533-position model. The record is from RNAcentral. Lineage: Bacteria; Pseudomonadati; Pseudomonadota; Gammaproteobacteria.